GCCAGCAGCUAGCUCUCUGCAACUCUCACAUGGAAGCUAAGCAGGGCUGUGCCCGGUCAGUACCUGGAUGGGAGACCACAUGGGAUAGCUAGGUUGCUGCAGGAA
This 105-nucleotide ribosomal RNA is filed under the name Danio rerio (zebrafish). The record is from RNAcentral. Lineage: Eukaryota; Metazoa; Chordata; Actinopteri; Cypriniformes; Danionidae.